CUUCCACGCUCCAGCUCUAAAUGUUGGCUGUGACACACUCGUCCUCGAUUACGGCACUGAAAGAGACUCUUUGUUAGAGUAAAUCCUAUUGAAAUAGGUCACACGCGUGCACACACACACACACACACUUCUCCACCCGCAAAUUAUAUCGAAAGAGUCUGAUAAAGUGGUCGUUCUUUUCGAAAUCUCACCUACGCUCCUGGUGUCAAGAAAGGCACCACGUAUGUGUGCCAAAAUAUCGGAGAUGAGUUCGGUGCACACUGGAGAUUUAUUUCUGCGUCUCGAUGGUCUGAUCAAGAUUGCGCUGAUUAGUGUCUCUGUAAAGUAAUAUCACGUAUAUAUUCUUCAUUUCUAUCACUGUAAAGUAACGUCACGUAUAUAUUCUUCAUUUCUAUCACUGUAAAGUAACGUCACGUAUAUAUUCUUCAUUUAC
Long non-coding RNA from Ictalurus punctatus (channel catfish), 433 nucleotides. The record is from Ensembl. Lineage: Eukaryota; Metazoa; Chordata; Actinopteri; Siluriformes; Ictaluridae.